Lynx canadensis (Canada lynx) is the source of this 1777-nucleotide long non-coding RNA. RefSeq lists it as uncharacterized. The transcript has 5 exons. The record is from RefSeq and is a predicted model, not a curated record. NCBI's taxonomy places the organism in Eukaryota, Metazoa, Chordata, Mammalia, Carnivora, Felidae.
CUGCCGCCUCGCCUUCCCCAAGCGCAGGCUUUGUGGGUUUUUGCGAAAACGCGCGUCCAGGAAGGCGGAGAGAGGCGGCAGAACUGAGUUCUGUUAGACGCAGUCAUCGGAGGGUUUGCAGUGCACUGAGAGCUGAAGGAUGGAACUAUCUCCGCUUUUUAUGCCAGUCUCAUUAACAGCCGCCAAGACAGAUGCGGGGCCCUCAACAGCAGUCCUUCUUCUUCGCAUCCAAAGAAUGGCAGAGAAAGUUAAGAAGCCGAAAUGAGGAGGCACAAAGUUAGCAUCUUUAUUUUAUAGCAGCUUGGCUAGACUUUGAAGUCUACAUUUUCUGUCUGCACGUGUGUUGUCUUCUGGCUUCCAUAGCUGAUACUGAGAAGGCUGUUUCCAAUUGGACUGUUGUUGUUUUGCAGCUUGACUGAGCGGCUCUUUGAGAGCAUGGACCAUGACAUACAUCUGCUGGGGUGUCCUCAUGGCGAGGUUCAGAAGCACGGCGCUGAAUCGUAGGCUCCAUCCGUGGCCGUCCAUCUUUGGUGUUAAUACUUUCUGGGACAGUUGUUUGCCACUCUGGGACCCCUUAUGUGACAGCUCCAUUUGCACCAGCAUGAAAUGUCCCUCCCCGGCUGCAUUCUAGAACCCGGAACCUCCAAAGUAAGACCUAAGCCUGCCUUCACCUGGUGGGGUUAUCUGCUUCCCUGCCUGGACUCCUGUCCAGACCAAGAACGGCACCUUCCUCAUAUGCCUUGGCUCCUGGCACCGAGUUCCUCCUGCCUGUGCUCUCAACAUAACACUAGCGUGGGGGAGCCCCAAGAGAAUCGGGUUCUCAACACCAAGCAUGGUUAUUUCUGGUGAAGUACAGACCACGCAAACCAUGUCUUUAUUUAUGCCACCGAGCCUGCAUUAGCUCCCUUACCAAACCUGGAAUCCAAGUGGCUCCUCUUGAGCAACUUGCCUCCCAACAGCCCCGGUCACCUUCACAUGGAUAGUGGCCAAGGAAGGCUUUUCUCAUUCCGCCGUCAUAACGGUGGCUUUCUUGUUCAGUGUAGCUGUGGGAAACUAUUUCGUCUCUGUUUUUUGCCAGGAGACUGGAUCAUUCAUCUGACAAUAAAGAGAAAUUCCAACCUGAAGGAUUUUGACCACAGAGGAAAAGAACUUCCUGAAAGUUCUCUUUCAGGAAGAAUGAUGGGAUGUCCCUGGGGCCAAGAAUCAAAAGUUGUGUUCUUGGCCUCAACCCUGUCUGGCUGCCAUGCUCCUUGUCAGUAGCAUGGAAUUUACCUCAGCGUGAUCUUGUAAGGAUUAUAGGAGGGGGAAAGGCUUUCCUAGAAGAGAGAAAGCCUCCUCUCCUUAUAAUCUUGAAUGGACGGCUGAAGGAUACUAUACAGUUUUAGGAACUUUUCCCAUAAAACCACAUUGACUUUCAGAAAAUUAGCUCUCCUGUCACUAGCUAGUGGGAACCUCAGUUCACAAACUCAUUGGGGUGUAAGAAAUGCUAUUUUUUAAUUCCCCUAAAUCCAAUUCUGAAUCUCUGUUAGUUUCCUAGGCCUGACGUAAUGAAGUACCCUCAAGCUGAGUGGCUUAUACAAUAGGAAUGUCUCACAGUUCUGGAGUUUGUGGUGUUUCUCCCUGUGCCCCUGUUUCUGUUGUUCCACAUUUCCGUCUUUUAAGGAUACAGUCAUAUUGGCUUAGGGCCCACCCUAGUGAUCUCACUUUAACUUGUAACUUAAUUUUUUUUCUAAGAGAACCGAUGAGCUGGGGAGAGGCACGAGGGAGGGAGAGAGAU